CGGGGAGCACCACAACAGGUGGAGCCUGCGGUUUAAUCGGACUCAACGCCGGGAAACUCACCAGAUAAGACAGCUGAAUGAUAGUCGGGCUGAAGACUCUACUUGACUAGCUGAGAGGAGGUGCAUGGCCGUCGUCAGUUCGUACUGUGAAGCAUCCUGUUAAGUCAAGCAACGAGCGAGACCCACGCCAACAGUUGCCAGCUCGUCCUCCGGGAUGGUGGGGACACUGUUGGGACCGCCUCUGCUAAAGAGGAGGAAGGAAUGGGCAACGGUAGGUCAGCAUGCCCCGAAUUAUCUGGGCUACACGCGGGCUACAAUGGGUGGGACAAUGGGUAUCGACACCGAAAGGUGAAGGCAAUCUCCUAAACCCAUCCAUAGUUCGGAUUGUGGGCUGCAACUCGCCCACAUGAAGCUGGAAUCUGUAGUAAUCGCGUUUCAAAAUAGCGCGGUGAAUAUGUCCCUGCUCCUU
RNAcentral lists this ribosomal RNA (469 nucleotides) under uncultured Methanomicrobiales archaeon. RNAcentral's name for it is "bacterial SSU rRNA". It matches the Rfam family "Archaeal small subunit ribosomal RNA", at positions 871 to 1337 of the family's 1478-position model. The record is from RNAcentral. Lineage: Archaea; Methanobacteriati; Methanobacteriota; Methanomicrobia; Methanomicrobiales.